RNAcentral lists this ribosomal RNA (460 nucleotides) under uncultured bacterium. RNAcentral's name for it is "partial 16S ribosomal RNA". It matches the Rfam family "Bacterial small subunit ribosomal RNA", at positions 338 to 795 of the family's 1533-position model. The record is from RNAcentral.
CCUAUGGGUGGCAGCAGUGAGGAAUAUUGGUCAAUGGGCGCGAGCCUGAACCAGCCAAGUAGCGUGAAGGAUGACUGCCCUACGGGUUGUAAACUUCUUUUAUAAAGGAAUAAAGUGAGGCACGUGUGCCUUUUUGUAUGUACUUUAUGAAUAAGGAUCGGCUAACUCCGUGCCAUCAGCCGCGGUAAUACGGAGGAUGCGAGCGUUAUCCGGAUUUAUUGGGUUUAAAGGGAGCGUAGAUGGGUUGUUAAGUCAGUUGUGAACGUUUGCGGCUCAACCGUAAAAUUGCAAUUGAUACUGGCAGUCUUGAGUACAGUUGAGGUAGGCGGAAUUCGUGGUGUAGCGGUGAAAUGCUUAGAUAUCACGAAGAACUCCGAUUGCGAAGGCAGCUUACUAAACUGCCACUGACAUUGAUGCUCGAAAGUGUGGGUAGCAAACAGGAUUAGAUACCCGAGUAGUC